This 253-nucleotide ribosomal RNA is filed under the name uncultured bacterium. Its description in RNAcentral is "partial 16S ribosomal RNA". It matches the Rfam family "Bacterial small subunit ribosomal RNA", at positions 524 to 776 of the family's 1533-position model. The record is from RNAcentral.
UACGUAGGGUGCAAGCGUUAAUCGGAAUUACUGGGCGUAAAGCGUGCGCAGGCGGUUAUGUAAGACAGAUGUGAAAUGCCCGGGCUUAACCUGGGAACUGCAUUUGUGACUGCAUGGCUAGAGUUUGGCAGAGGGGGGUAGAAUUCCACGUGUAGCAGUGAAAUGCGUAGAUAUGUGGAGGAACACCGAUGGCGAAGGCAGCCCCCUGGGUCAAGACUGACGCUCAUGCACGAAAGUGUGGGGAGCAAACAGG